GACCCGAUAGUCUAAUGGUAGGGCGUCCCCCUUCAUAAGUGCAUUUGCAACAGUGCACUUAUGAAGGGGAAAGAUGUGGUUCGAAUCCACAUCGGGUCU
Molecule: transfer RNA, 99 nt
Filed under: Anaerobutyricum hallii
Lineage: Bacteria; Bacillati; Bacillota; Clostridia; Lachnospirales; Lachnospiraceae
Also listed under: 5 other names
Description: tRNA-OTHER
Rfam family: tRNA
About the family: Transfer RNA (tRNA) molecules are approximately 80 nucleotides in length. Their secondary structure includes four short double-helical elements and three loops (D, anti-codon, and T loops). Further hydrogen bonds mediate the characteristic L-shaped molecular structure. tRNAs have two regions of fundamental functional importance: the anti-codon, which is responsible for specific mRNA codon recognition, and the 3' end, to which the tRNAs corresponding amino acid is attached (by aminoacyl-tRNA synthetases). tRNAs cope with the degeneracy of the genetic code in two manners: having more than one tRNA (with a specific anti-codon) for a particular amino acid; and 'wobble' base-pairing, i.e. permitting non-standard base-pairing at the 3rd anti-codon position.
Source: RNAcentral